GAACUAACACACGUAAGACAAAUCAUUUUUCCCCCUCAGUAUAGGCGAUAGAAAAGGAAUUUUGGGAGCUAUAGAAAAAGUACCGCAAGGGAAUGCUGAAAGAGAAAUGAAAAAGCCCAGUGAAGUUUAAGAAAGCAAAGAUUAACCCUUGUACCUUUUGCAUCAUGAUUUAGCCAGUGUAACUCAAGCAAAGAGCACUUUAGUUUGAUAACCCGAAACUAAGUGAGCUACUCCAAGACAGCCAAAUUAUAGGGCCAACCCGUCUCUGUGGCAAAAGAGUGGGAAGAGCUUCGAGUAGAGGUGAUAAACCUACCGAACUUAGUAAUAGCUGGUUGCCUAAGAAUUGAAUAGGAGUUCAGCCUCCAGGCUUCUUUUUUCCCUUAAGUAAGACUUUUUACGAUAAUAAGAAAACCUGGAGAGUUAGUCAAAGGGGGUACAGCUCCUUUGACCAAAGACACAACUUUUUUAGGAGGAUAAAGAUCAUAUUAAUUAAAGGCAUGAGAUCGACGUGGGCUUAAAAGCAGCCACCAUAGCAGAAAGCGUUAAAGCUUGGACAUCCUAUUAAACGCCUCCCCAAUAAUGAUCACUAAAUCUUACUCCCCUAAUUUUAUUAGGCCAUCCUAUGCACACAUAGGAGCGACUAUGCUAAUAUGAGUAAUAAGAGAGCCCACACCUCUCUCCCUGCACGAGUGUAAAUCAGUACGGAUAGCCCGCUGAGUAUUAACGGCCCCACACCAAGAGGGUAGUAAGUAAGACAUCAACAUACCAGAAAACCACUUAAUAUACCUACCGUUAACCCCACACAGGAGUGCUUCCAGGGAUAGACUAAAAGAAAGAGAAGGAACUCGGCAAACACUAAGCCUCGCCUGUUUACCAAAAACAUCGCCUCUUGUCCCCCUUGAAAAUAAGAGGUCCCGCCUGCCCUGUGACUGUAAGUUUAACGGCCGCGGUAUUUUGACCGUGCGAAGGUAGCGUAAUCACUUGUCUCUUAAAUGGAGACCUGUAUGAAUGGCAUUACGAGGGCUUGACUGUCUCCUUUUUCAGGUCAGUGAACUUGAUCUUCCCGUGCAGAAGCGGGAAUAUAAACAUAAGACGAGAAGACCCUAUGGAGCUUUAGACACAAGAGCAGAGCACGUCAAACGCCCCUAAGCAAGGGCCAAAACCUAAUGCACCCCCUGCCCUAAUGUCUUUGGUUGGGGCGACCGCGGCGAAAAAUUUAACCUCCGCGUGGACCGGGAGCACUUUCUUAUUUUCUCCUACACCCAAGAGCCACAGCUCUAAGUAACAGAACUUUUGACCUUUCAUGAUCCGGCAAAGCCGAUCAACGAACCGAGUUACCCUAGGGAUAACAGCGCAAUCCUCUUCUAGAGCCCAUAUCGACAAGAGGGUUUACGACCUCGAUGUUGGAUCAGGACAUCCUAAUGGUGCAGCCGCUAUUAAGGGUUCGUUUGUUCAACG
Molecule: ribosomal RNA, 1458 nt
Filed under: Pronotogrammus multifasciatus (threadfin bass)
Lineage: Eukaryota; Metazoa; Chordata; Actinopteri; Perciformes; Anthiadidae
Description: partial 16S ribosomal RNA
Rfam family: Bacterial large subunit ribosomal RNA
Source: RNAcentral